CAGUCGAACGAAGCACUUUAUUUGAUUUCCUUCGGGACUGAUUAUUUUGUCACUGAGUGGCGGACGGGUGAGUAACGCGUGGGUAACCUGCCUUGUACAGGGGGAUAACAGUUGGAAACGGCUGCUAAUACCGCAUAAGCGCACAGCAUCGCAUGAUGCAGUGUGAAAAACUCCGGUGGUAUAAGAUGGACCCGCGUUGGAUUAGCUAGUUGGUGAGGUAACGGCCCACCAAGGCGACGAUCCAUAGCCGACCUGAGAGGGUGACCGGCCACAUUGGGACUGAGACACGGCCCAAACUCCUACGGGAGGCAGCAGUGGGGAAUAUUGCACAAUGGGCGAAAGCCUGAUGCAGCGACGCCGCGUGAGCGAAGAAGUAUUUCGGUAUGUAAAGCUCUAUCAGCAGGGAAGAUAAUGACGGUACCUGACUAAGAAGCACCGGCUAAAUACGUGCCAGCAGCCGCGGUAAUACGUAUGGUGCAAGCGUUAUCCGGAUUUACUGGGUGUAAAGGGAGCGCAGGCGGUGCGGCAAGUCUGAUGUGAAAGCCCGGGGCUCAACCCCGGUACUGCAUUGGAAACUGUCGUACUAGAGUGUCGGAGGGGUAAGCGGAAUUCCUAGUGUAGCGGUGAAAUGCGUAGAUAUUAGGAGGAACACCAGUGGCGAAGGCGGCUUACUGGACGAUAACUGACGCUGAGGCUCGAAAGCGUGGGGAGCAAACAGGAUUAGAUACCCUGGUAGUCCACGCCGUA
RNAcentral lists this ribosomal RNA (747 nucleotides) under uncultured bacterium. RNAcentral's name for it is "bacterial SSU rRNA". It matches the Rfam family "Bacterial small subunit ribosomal RNA", at positions 59 to 804 of the family's 1533-position model. The record is from RNAcentral.